Molecule: long non-coding RNA, 2855 nt
Filed under: Nicotiana benthamiana
Lineage: Eukaryota; Viridiplantae; Streptophyta; Magnoliopsida; Solanales; Solanaceae
Description: long non-coding RNA (NBEN_LNC033939)
Source: RNAcentral
UUUUAAUACCCAAAACCCCAAACCCUCAGCCCAGUUUCAUUUGUCAUGCCCUCUCACCCCUUUUCGUCUCUCUCAAACGAAUCAAACACCCCGCCGAAACCCUAGCGCCGCCCACCAUUCCAUCGCCCAAAAACUCGGUGGUCAGUGCUCUGUUCACCGCCAAAAUCACACCCGAAAAUCCCCACGACCUCCCCGUCCCAAAUCACCAACAGUCGUCCUUCGAAUACUGCCAAAAUUACUCGAAUCUUAGAUCGUAGGAUGAACACCAAAAUCCCCAAAUGUCAAACAUCCAAGUUUCUAGGCUUUGAGGCUGAGAUAGACUAUAAUCGGGUGUUUUCAGUCGAAAACAUGCGAUUAAGGUCCGUCUCAGUCCAAGAUAAGCGUCAUAUCAAAGAAGACAAAAGGUUUGAGCCUUGUUAUCGUGGUGGUCUCAUUUUUAGGUAUUUCCUUGUUCUCCUCUUCUUCUGUGUCAUUUUAAUUUUUAGUUUUAUCAGUUAAUUAUCUCCUCCUCUUCUCCAACCUUGUUCUUGGUCCAAAUUUUCUUUUGUUAAUUAUCAUAUGUUAUAAAUGGUUUAAUCGAUUAAAUAAGUUUCGUCCAUUAGUCCAUUAUGUUUGAGUGUUAGCGAUGUUGAUUAUGUUAUAAUGGUUUCCCGAGAUAAGCGGCAUAUCAAAGUUAAAGACAAGAGGUUCGAGCCUUGUUAUCUUGGUGGUCUCAUUUUUAGGUAUUUCCUUGUAUUCCUCUUCUUUUGUUCCAUUUUAAUUUGUCGUUUUCAUCAGUUAACUAUCUCCUCCUCUUAUGCGACCCUGCUCUUGGUCCAAACUUUCUUUUGUUAAUUAUCAUAUGUUAUAAAUUGUUUAAUCGAUUAAAUAAGUGUCGUCGAUUAGUCCAUUAUGUUUGAGUGUUAGCGAUGUUGAUUAUGUUAUACUGGUUUAGUUUUCGGUUUUUAUUUCAUAAUUCAUUCUAGUCUGUUUCUCAUACUACUGUGUGUUGGAAAUGAGCCUGAUGAUAUGUUGGAACUUAGAACCGAGCCUAUUGAUAUAUUCAGUUUAUCUCAUGAACUGAAUUGAUUGCUCAUUUUGUCUGUCAAAUUCCCUUAAUGCUCUUCUGAUUGUUUCUUCUUUUGUUUUCCAAUUCGAUUGGGUGUAUAGUUGGUUCACUUGUUUUUGUUAUAUGUAAGAUUGGUUCCCCAAUACAAAUUAGUUUAAUGAAUGCUAUCAUGAACCAUUGGUCUUCAUGUUUGGUAUCAUUUUUUAUUUGAUUUGAGUUUCUUCUUUGAAUUACUUAUUUUGGACUAAAGAUUGGCUAUAGCUUUUAAUUAUAGAAUGGUUUUAGAUAAUUAGAUGUUUGAUUCUGUUUGCCGAUGUUCUGAAUCAGAACAGUAGCAGUCAGUAGGAUUCAGGGGUAAUUUGGGAAUUGAAAAAUGAGAAAAUGUUCAGUUUGGAAUAGCUGCCAGUUGAAUGGUUUGGGGGCCAUUGAACCAUUGAAUAAUUUAAUUAAAAAGGGGGACUGUGGGGUCCAUGCUGACUACUUUUACUUAAUCGGACAUUAGAAAUAGUAUAGGUAAUAAUAAUAAAGUUAAAAGGUGCACAUAGUUAAAGGAAUAUUCGGCUGGAAAGUAAAAUGAGUAGUAAUAAUCUGUAAAAAGAAAAAGGAAAUGGCCUGAAAUGGGGACUGCUUUAGGUAUAAAAUAUGGGUAAUUUGACAGUUAAUGGGGAGAGAUUUUUGGAAGGAAAAUUUCAGAACUUAAGAGCUCAGGACUGGAUUUUGAAGAUGGAAGUCCAGAGCUUAAAGAGUGAAUUGAGGCUGAACUUUGCAAACAAAGAAAAAUUUUCAAAGUUUAAGUUAAAGGACUGAAUUUUAACAUUAGAAAAUCCAGUAAUUUGAGAGAAAGAAACUGAAAAGUGAGGCCCUUUUUGUUAUCUGAUCAGGAUAGCUUGCUACUAUAUCACUGAAGCUUCACUUCUUUCUUUGAGUGUUUGAAAAUCAGAAACAUCUUGUUCCAUUGUGUUUUCUGAUUCCCCUGUUUUCUGCCAGUAAUUUUUGGUAUUUUUGGUUUUCAAGUGGUAAUAUCUGGAUUGUGCUAUCGGAUUAACUGUUACUGUUCGUUCCGAAUUGUGGGUUUUUCAAAAUCUGUCCCGCGGGUUUCAGUUGUUGGGUUUUGCUGGUUAUUACUAAAAGUUGGUUUCAUCCGUUACUGUCGCUGCUGCUCUGUUGUUGCUGCUUAAUUCUCAUCCUCCUUUUCUUCUUGUACUCCUAAUACUAGGUACACUACUUUGAAUCAACUCGAUGUAUGUUCAUUGAAGGUCAAAUGAAACGGCCAAAAGGAUUUAUGAUUCAACUAAUGAGAACCUGUAUUUAGUUAAUCUUUGUUAGGUAUUUUCCUAUUAUAUUAGUGAUAUAUGUAUGCAUAAUUAGGACUGUUCUUUUAUAAGAUCACUGUUUAACAAUAAUAUGAUGUGUGAUGUUAGAUUAUGGAACUGAAAUUCUUGAAAUGGCAUGAACAUUAGUCAGCAAAGUAUGUAAUCUUAAAUUGAGCAAUUUGUUAGAUUGUUAAGCUAGUGGAUGUGUUCCUGUAUGAACCUCAUAUUUAUUAGUUUCAGCUUUGUUAGUUCAUAUAUGUAGAAUAGUGUAGUUCAGAAUCACAUUCAAUUCGAAUUGAUGAUUAAUAAGUGUUUAGAAUUGUUUCGAUUUAGUCGAUUGGUGAGGUAUAAAUCUGAGCUCACGAAACUGGAAUAGAAGUAAUUGAAGUUUGGUGAUUUUGACUCUUGUUAGUAACAAAAAUCCGCUAGUAUUAGGCAAAUAUAAGUGGUCAUUAAUUUUAUAGAAUCAAUAGGUUUGACAUAUUUGAAGUGUG